This 303-nucleotide ribosomal RNA is filed under the name uncultured bacterium. RNAcentral's name for it is "bacterial SSU rRNA". It matches the Rfam family "Bacterial small subunit ribosomal RNA", at positions 355 to 655 of the family's 1533-position model. The record is from RNAcentral.
UGAGGAAUAUUGGUCAAUGGACGCAAGUCUGAACCAGCCAUGCCGCGUGCAGGAAGACGGCUCUAUGAGUUGUAAACUGCUUUUGUACGAGGGUAAACUCGGAUACGUGUAUCCGUUUGAAAGUAUCGUACGAAUAAGGAUCGGCUAACUCCGUGCCAGCAGCCGCGGUAAUACGGAGGAUUCAAGCGUUAUCCGGAUUUAUUGGGUUUAAAGGGUGCGUAGGCGGUCGGAUAAGUUAGAGGUGAAAUCCCGGGGCUCAACUUCGGAAUUGCCUCUGAUACUGUUCGGCUAGAGAGUAGUUGC